Molecule: long non-coding RNA, 842 nt
Organism: Salvia splendens (bonfire salvia)
Lineage: Eukaryota; Viridiplantae; Streptophyta; Magnoliopsida; Lamiales; Lamiaceae
Exons: 2
Source: RefSeq, a predicted model, not a curated record
GUUUGGUUAGCAUGACAAAUCAUGUUAAAUGUUAUUAUCAUGAGUUAACCUGCUGUUUGGUUGCUUUGUUUGAUAACAUGAGGCCCGAUGUCGGCCCGUCAAAGCCCGAACUGUUCAUCCAAAUAACAUGUGUUUCGUAUCAGCAUUUGAGGCACCGAUUAUAAUCAUGCCUCGACUCCCGUGCCCGAUACAGCAUCAACAUUUCCAUUUUGCCCUCUAUACGUGAUUUGAAUUUUGGAAACACCUCCUCCAAUAAUUCAUCCCCAAACCUUGUGUGAAACCACUGCAGACACACCCUACAAUUGAAGCCAGAGAUUGUUACAACACUUGAGGACUCCAUACCCCCACGCACAAAAGGGGGUCGGCGUUAGGGAUCCGAUUCGUCCACCGGAAUCGGUCGACAUAAACAUCAGCAAGUUUUCGCCCAAAUUUCAGACGGUUAGUUAUUGAUGCUCCAGUUCAUAAACAAUCGACUCUUUCCAUUUGUGUUUUUAUUUUUUACGUGCUUGAUUUUCCAGAUCUCCUUUUGUGCUUUAUUUUUUAUGUGCUUGAUUUUCCAGAUCUCCUCUUGUUCUUUAUUUUUAGGUGUUGAGCUUUAUUAUUGCUAAGAAUUUUUAAUCUCUAUUAGUAGUAUAUUGGUUUAUAGAAAUGGAAGACCAGUUUCUCUGCAGAGUAAAUAGUUCUCGUUAGUAUGCACACAGAGUUUGUAUUGACAAGUUGUAUCUGUUCAUAACUUGAGUUUGCAGCCAAAUUUGAGUACGUGUAUGUGCAUCACAUGACUGUGUAUUCGUUAGUAAAGUGAGUCUUUACUGAAUCUAGAGUUCUCUAAAGGCAAUUUUAUG